RNAcentral lists this ribosomal RNA (497 nucleotides) under uncultured bacterium. RNAcentral describes it as "partial 16S ribosomal RNA". It matches the Rfam family "Bacterial small subunit ribosomal RNA", at positions 28 to 507 of the family's 1533-position model. The record is from RNAcentral.
GAUGAACGCUGGCGGCGUGCCUAAUACAUGCAAGUCGAGCGAACAGAUGAGGAGCUUGCUCCUCUGACGUUAGCGGCGGACGGGUGAGUAACACGUGGAUAACCUACCUAUAAGACUGGGAUAACUUCGGGAAACCGGAGCUAAUACCGGAUAAUAUAUUGAACCGCAUGGUUCAAUAGUGAAAGACGGUUUUGCUGUCACUUAUAGAUGGAUCCGCGCCGCAUUAGCUAGUUGGUAAGGUAACGGCUUACCAAGGCGACGAUGCGUAGCCGACCUGAGAGGGUGAUCGGCCACACUGGAACUGAGACACGGUCCAGACUCCUACGGGAGGCAGCAGUAGGGAAUCUACCGCAAUGGGCGAAAGCCUGACGGAGCAACGCCGCGUGAGUGAUGAAGGUCUUCGGAUCGUAAAACUCUGUUAUUAGGGAAGAACAAAUGUGUAAGUAACUAUGCACGUCUUGACGGUACCUAAUCAGAAAGCCACGGCUAACUACGUG